UAGGGUGCAAGCGUUAAUCGGAAUUACUGGGCGUAAAGUGUGCGCAGGCGGCGUCGCAAGUCGAGUGUGAAAGCCCCGGGCUUAACUUGGGAAUUGCGCUCGAAACUACGAUGCUGGAGUGUGGCAGAGGAAGGUGGAAUUCCACGUGUAGCGGUGAAAUGCGUAGAGAUGUGGAGGAACACCAAUAGCGAAGGCAGCCUUCUGGGCCAACACUGACGCUCAUGCACGAAAGCGUGGGGAGCAAACAGG
This 249-nucleotide ribosomal RNA is filed under the name uncultured bacterium. RNAcentral's name for it is "partial 16S ribosomal RNA". It matches the Rfam family "Bacterial small subunit ribosomal RNA", at positions 528 to 776 of the family's 1533-position model. The record is from RNAcentral.